AAUUUUUAUAACUAGAACGCUUAUCACAAAUUAUUUGCAGUAUCAUCAAUGUAUAAGCAGGAUUUUGAUCACAGAAGCAAUAAAAAUCUCGUGCAAUACGUACAACUGAAUCUCCUGGCUUGCAAAGUCCCUUCUUCUUAGCAUACUGAAAGGCAUGUUAAAUUGUUUCUUCUGUUGACUCACUAUGAGAAGCUCUCAUAGAGCCUGAACCUAAAACAGGCACCAGAGGAUGGUAAAUAAGGCAGCUGGAAUUUCUUCACUGCAUGACCACUCAAAGGAAUGCAUUUCUGUGUCUCCCAGGAUGGUAAAUGCGAGCCCUUCUUCAGUUCCGCGUUCUCAUGGUUGGUUUCACAGGAAUUGCCUUCCUGCUGGUUGCUUGAACUUAACACUGAUGGGGCUUUAAUGGAACUUGGUGGCAUUGCACUUGGUGAUGGCAUGAUUAGGGAUUAAUAAGGAAGAUGGUUUGGGGGCUUUUGUACUUGAAACUUCUGGUUCGUUUAGUACCCCAUUAUUACUUAAAAACUUCAUUUGAUCCCAUUGUUGCUGGGAAACGUUUUCUUGGAAGCCAAACAAAGAAACGAUAAU
RNAcentral lists this unclassified non-coding RNA (585 nucleotides) under Hevea brasiliensis (rubber tree). The record is from RNAcentral. Lineage: Eukaryota; Viridiplantae; Streptophyta; Magnoliopsida; Malpighiales; Euphorbiaceae.